This 520-nucleotide unclassified non-coding RNA is filed under the name uncultured Glomus. Its description in RNAcentral is "SSU rRNA". It matches the Rfam family "Eukaryotic small subunit ribosomal RNA", at positions 569 to 1092 of the family's 1831-position model. The record is from RNAcentral. Lineage: Eukaryota; Fungi; Glomeromycota; Glomeromycetes; Glomerales; Glomeraceae.
AGCAGCCGCGGUAAUUCCAGCUCCAAUAGCGUAUAUUAAAGUUGUUGCAGUUAAAAGCUCGUAGUUGAAUUUCGGGAUCAAAUUGUCGGUCGUGCCUCGGUACGCACUGGUAUUAUUGGUUCCUACCUUCUGAAGAACCGCGAUGUCAUUAAUUUGGUGUCGUGGGGAAUCAGGACUGUUACUUUGAAAAAAUUAGAGUAUUUAAAGCAGGCUUACGCUUGAAUACAUUAGCAUGGAAUAAUGAAAUAGGACGUUUGAUUCUAUUUUGUUGGUUUCUAGGAUUGACGUAAUGAUUAAUAGGGAUAGUUGGGGGCAUUAGUAUUCAAUUGUCAGAGGUGAAAUUCUUGGAUUUAUUGAAGACUAACUACUGCGAAAGCAUUUGCCAAGGAUGUUUUCAUUAAUCAAGAACGAAAGUUAGGGGAUCGAAGACGAUCAGAUACCGUCGUAGUCUUAACCAUAAACUAUGCCGACUAGGGAUCGGAUGAUGUUAAUUUUUUAAUGACUCAUUCGGCGCCUUACG